UGCAAUGAAUCCACGCUGAGCAACCUGAGU
Molecule: non-coding RNA, 30 nt
Filed under: Mus musculus (house mouse)
Lineage: Eukaryota; Metazoa; Chordata; Mammalia; Rodentia; Muridae
Source: RNAcentral